ACUGGUAGUCCUCAGUGCUGCUUACAGGGGGAUUUCCUCCAGCUCCAAACAAUUUUUCCAUGCCAUUGAGCUUGAAAACAUCCAUAGGCACGUGGGUCUUAUCUCUCAUUUGGAACUGUACAAUCUUGAUGGUCUGCCUGAACAUAUCGCACCACCUCCUGCAUGUCUCUGAUUGCCCACAAGGAGAAAUGUCUCCUAGCGUCCCGCUCCCAGUUCUGCUCUCCCUUAUGAUGAAUCUGCCUUCAUUGCCAUUACUUUGGUGCAUAGCAAACUAACAGACAACGCAGUUUCUGUAAGCACAUGUUGAGUUUAAGCAGUGUCUUUGUGGUCUUCGCUGCCUCUGCCGCAUCCCUGUUGAUCUGGGCCUCUUUUCCCAUCUGCAAUCAUGCCAUCCUGAUGUUUUGAUGGCACUUACACCAGCAUCGACAGCACAUCUCUGAUGACGCGCACGGAGAAAUGUCCCAGAAAUUUAGCCUGAGAGCAUGCACUUGAGAGCUAAGCACUGGUGUCCUUCAUGGCUGACGUUCACUGUGACUGGUGGCCAUGCUCACCAGGAACGCAGUAAUGCUGCCAAUGACAUCUCUAUGAGGGAAAUCCAACUGAAAUCCCCGAAAACCUAAAUGGAGAAUUCCAAAUCAAUUAAUUGGCCUUAGGACACAGCAAUACAGACAAACUGUUUUGAUGGUAGGCAGUAUGAAUCUGCAGCAAAACACUCGAGAUGAAAGAAGCAAGAUAUUAACUACUAGCAAGGUCUUUGCAACCACUAACCGCUAGCUGUUUUGAUGCUUCAUGACCAUGGAAUGUUUCUGUCCUCACGUGCGUCAUGAACACAGCAUAAAAGCUCCUGCUGCAGCAGGCUCAGCAUCGUCUUUGCGUCCUUCAUUCUCCUCCAGAAACGAGGAAACGCAGGAGGUCGUCCUGGUGCAACAAGCAUCCAGUACAUCAAAGAUUUGCUGCCAGUCUUUCCAAUUGAGCCCAGAGCUUUGCCUCCCUCAGCGAGAAAUGUCGUGCUGCAGACCCUGUGUCCCAUCCCCCUGCGGUGCCUCUGGCCCAACCCCACUGGCAAGCAGCUGCAGUGAGCCAUGUGUCGCCCGCUGCGCUGACUCCACUGUGGCUAUCCGAGGCCUCCCCUGUGGUGGUGACCCUGCCGGGCCCCAUCCUCACCUCCUUCCCUCAGAACACAGCCGUGGGAUCCUCUCUGUCAGCUGCUGUUGGCAGCUCCCUCAGCACCGCGGGCGUUCCCAUCUCUUCUGGGGGCUCCCUUGGUCUGGGGGGCUCAGGGUUGUGUCUGCCUCGCCCGCCCUGCAGUUUUAACUGCUGAAGCCGAUGGAUCAUCCCAUUUAGGACAACACAUCCUGGAUACGGAUGGAUCGUGCUCUCAACCUCCCUGUAGACUGAAAGCAUGAUUCUUCCCCUCUGUACAGAGCCACUUUAGCUUUUCCUUCUCAUUAAAGACUUUGUGCAGCAUA
Gallus gallus (chicken) is the source of this 1469-nucleotide RNA transcript. It is a transcript of the gene named beta-keratin-related protein-like, with no coding region annotated. The record is from RefSeq and is a predicted model, not a curated record. NCBI's taxonomy places the organism in Eukaryota, Metazoa, Chordata, Aves, Galliformes, Phasianidae. The transcript has 3 exons.